CCUAAUCCUUCUCCUUUCAGACAAAGAGUUAAUUUUGACCAAGCUAGAGGCUCUUUAUUCUGUAGAUACUGCAAAAAAUCUGGUCACUUAAUUGAUAAGUGUUAUAAGAUUCAUGGGUAUCCACAAAGUACAACAUUUAACAAGGGGAGGAGACUUGCUGCUGCUCAUCUAACUGCUGGUGUGGAUUUCCCUUCUUCUGAAGGACAUGUGUCUGUUCCCCAAGGGAAUCCUCCUGAAAGCCAUCAUUCUGUUCCAAACAUGGAUGGCCAGAGUUCUGUGAUACCAGGGUUGAGCAGACAACAGUAGGACCAAUUGAUGAGCUUGUUACAACAGACCCAGUUAGGGGACUACACUGCUCAGACUCCUCCUCCCAUGUAUGCUGCUAAUUUUGCUGGUACUAUGCUAACUGAGAGCCUUACUUCUGAUUCCAAGCUUUGCAUGCUUACCCAUAUUAACUCUGCCACCUGGAUAAUAGACUCAGGGGGAUCUAAUCACAUGACAUAUGAUAAAAGUUUACUCUUCAACAUAACACCUUUAACUGUACCCUACCUUGUCACUCUCCCUAAUGGAUAUAAAGUGAAAGUGACAUGCACAUGAUCCUUUGCAUUAAAUUCAACCAUCACUCUUCAAAAUGUCUUGUUAGUUCCUUCUUUGAAACACAACUUGAUUUCUGUCCACAAGUUAGUGAAACAGUUGCAUUGCAUAGUUUUGUUCACUAUCUUCCCCUUCUGCCUCUACUGGUUCCUCUACUGCUUGUUCAUCUUUUUUUGUACUCUAAAUUUGACUCUUGUAAUCUUGACAAUUCUUCUUUUACUGGUUGCCAUAAAGAUGUUGCUUUACCUUCUACUGCUUGUUCAUCUUCUUUUGUAUACUCUAAAUCUACUCUUGUAAUCUUGACAAUUCUUCUUUUACUGGUUGCCAUACAGAUGUUGCUUUACCUUCCAAUGUAAAUAGUCUGCUAUGUAAUAAUGUUGCUGCAACUGACAUGAAUUACAUCUGGCAUUUAAGACUUGCUCAUACUUCAUUUUCAACUAUGAAACACAUUUCUGGAUUACCUUUUCCCUUAGCCUCUAAGCAGUUUUUCCCUUGUUCUAUAUGUCAUAUGGCUAAACAGACUAGACUACCUUUUCCUGAUAGCACAAUAACUACUUCUAGACCUUUCCAACUGAUUCAUGUGGACACUUGGGGCCCCUAUCACACUCCUACUUCUUCUGGUUGUAGAUAUUUUCUUAUAAUUAUUGAUGAUUUCUCUAGGUCUACCUGGACACAUUUACUGGGAUCUAAAAGCAUUGCCUUCUGCCUGCUUAAAUCAUUUCUGUGUAUGGUUAAAACUCAGUUUAAUGUUGUGGUUCAAAUUGUUAGAAGUGAUAAUGCUUUGGAACUAGGGUCUAGCAUUGAGG
RNAcentral lists this long non-coding RNA (1400 nucleotides) under Nicotiana benthamiana. RNAcentral describes it as "long non-coding RNA (NBEN_LNC032517)". Lineage: Eukaryota; Viridiplantae; Streptophyta; Magnoliopsida; Solanales; Solanaceae. The record is from RNAcentral.